AGUUUGGGAACGAUUAGGGUUCCCCCUCCGUGCCUCUUUGCAGCUAAAACACAGGACACGAGAUCUUCUCACAGCCAUGAGGUUUCAUGUCCUGAUGCUGAGCUGAGCAGCGUUGUGCUCCAGCAGGACACGAGCAGGGCCGGUCUCUGUGUGUGUGUGUGUGUGUGUGUGUGUGUGUGUGUGUGUGUGUGUGUGUGUCCAUCCAGCUCAAGGCUAAGAUGGCUGCUCCUCGUGCAGAUCGUACACGUUCACCUUGCGCUCAGAUGUAUGGUGUGUCAGAGACUGGAACCCCUAGGUGAUGUCAAACCAUGUCGUGUUCCAGGCCAAGAAGGAGCCGGCCUCAGGGGGGAAGCAGCGGCAGGGGGGGGCGCACCCCAGACACCUCUCCGCCUGGGGCAAGAAGCAACGUCUGCUCGAGAAGGACGUCACCGACAGCGACCUCCACGUCAUGGCCACGAUCUUGUCAGCUGGCUUGGUGGACGUGGACCCCUCCUGCCUGCAGCACCUCAAGGAGUUCCGUGACCUCUGGGGAUCCUCCACCUGAAGGCCGCCCAAAUACCUGCUGAUGCUAAAGACUUGCUAAUGCUAACAUGCUGCUGAUGCUGAAGGACCACCAAUGGAUCACUAAUGAACCAGUAGUGGACCACCAAUGCCAGUCAGCUGCCAGCGAGCUGCUAAUGGUUCACUAGCAUCACCUGGACAUCGCCAUGCGGAGCUAGAUGCUUUGGCCAAAGGAGACUCCCCUGUUGGCCACCUUUCAGGACCCCAACCCCCAACAUUAUUGUGUCAUUUGAGGUUCCGGGUGUGAAUGAAUUUGAUUGACCUCCAGUGACAUUUGCGUUCAUUCAUUUCUCUGCUGCCAUGUCUGCCUUUCCCCUUUGUAGUUGAACUUCCAUAAAGUCCCACUCCUGACCAUUAUGUGGGGGGCAUCUUUCUAUAGACUCCACCCCAAAGUGAACUAGCCAAUCAUAACCUUUGCACCGUUUUUGUUAUUGUACCCAAUAAAGUGACGGUACUUUGCUC
RNAcentral lists this long non-coding RNA (1023 nucleotides) under Scleropages formosus (Asian bonytongue). Its description in RNAcentral is "lncRNA (ENSSFOG00015032181.1)". Lineage: Eukaryota; Metazoa; Chordata; Actinopteri; Osteoglossiformes; Osteoglossidae. The record is from RNAcentral.